RNAcentral lists this ribosomal RNA (588 nucleotides) under Xenopolyscytalum sp. CCF 4158. RNAcentral's name for it is "eukaryotic LSU rRNA". It matches the Rfam family "Eukaryotic large subunit ribosomal RNA", at positions 50 to 652 of the family's 3401-position model. Lineage: Eukaryota; Fungi; Ascomycota; Leotiomycetes; Helotiales; Hamatocanthoscyphaceae. The record is from RNAcentral.
GCGGAGGAAAAGAAACCAACAGGGAUUGCCUCAGUAACGGCGAGUGAAGCGGCAACAGCUCAAAUUUGAAAUCUGGCUCUUUUAGGGUCCGAGUUGUAAUUUGUAGAAGAUGCUUCGGGUGUGGCUCCGGUCUAAGUUCCUUGGAACAGGACGUCAUAGAGGGUGAGAAUCCCGUACGUGACUGGUUGCCUUCGCCCAUGUGAAGCUCUUUCGACGAGUCGAGUUGUUUGGGAAUGCAGCUCAAAAUGGGUGGUAGAUUUCAUCUAAAGCUAAAUAUUGGCCAGAGACCGAUAGCGCACAAGUAGAGUGAUCGAAAGAUGAAAAGCACUUUGGAAAGAGAGUUAAACAGUACGUGAAAUUGUUGAAAGGGAAGCGCUUGCAACCAGACUUGCGCGCUGCCGAUCAUCCGGGGUUCUCUCCGGUGCACUCGGUUGCGUUCAGGCCAGCAUCGGUUUGGGUGGUUGGAUAAAGGCCUUGGGAAUGUAGCUUCUUUCGGGGAGUGUUAUAGCCCUCGGUGCAAUGCAGCCUACCUGGACCGAGGACCGCGCUUCGGCUAGGAUGCUGGCGUAAUGGUUGUAAGCGACCCGU